RNAcentral lists this ribosomal RNA (434 nucleotides) under Rhizophagus intraradices. RNAcentral describes it as "eukaryotic LSU rRNA". It matches the Rfam family "Eukaryotic large subunit ribosomal RNA", at positions 325 to 634 of the family's 3401-position model. Lineage: Eukaryota; Fungi; Glomeromycota; Glomeromycetes; Glomerales; Glomeraceae. The record is from RNAcentral.
GGCGAGAGACCGAUAGCGAACAAGUACCGUGAGGGAAAGAUGAAAAGAACUUUGAAAAGAGAGUUAAAUAGUACGUGAAAUUGUUGAAAGGGAAACGAUUGAAGCCAGUCGUACCUGCGGGUAAUCAGCCUUUUGGGCAUGAUUCUGUGGAGCGUGAGGAGUUAAACGCCUUCAUGCCUGCAUAUUCGUGUACUUUGGGUGUACUUGCCUGUGUGGUUAGUUAACAUCAAUUUUGGUUAUCAUAAAAUGGCUGGAGGAAUGUAGCUUCGAUUUCGAUUGAAGUGUUAUAGCCUUCGGCAGAUGUGAUGAUCGGGAUUGAGGAUUGCAACGGAUACCCUUCGGGGCUACCUGUCUGGUCUCUGAUCGUUGCUCUGGUGCCGAAAGCGUGCUUACGGUUAUCAAAGUCGAUGGUCAAUAGGUUAGAACGGGUUAAA